This 253-nucleotide ribosomal RNA is filed under the name uncultured bacterium. RNAcentral describes it as "partial 16S ribosomal RNA". It matches the Rfam family "Bacterial small subunit ribosomal RNA", at positions 524 to 776 of the family's 1533-position model. The record is from RNAcentral.
UACGGGGGGGGCAAGCGUUGUUCGGAAUUACUGGGCGUAAAGGGCUCGUAGGCGGCCAACUAAGUCAGGCGUGAAAGCCCCGGGCUCAACCUGGGAACCGCGCUUGAGACUGGCAUGCUCGAGUUCGGGAGAGGAUGGUGGAAUUCCCAGUGUAGAGGUGAAAUUCGUAGAUAUUGGGAAGAACACCGAUGGCGAAGGCAGCCAUCUGGACCGACACUGACGCUGAGGCGCGAAAGCGUGGGGAGCAAACAGG